UCUGGACUUGGGACUGGGACCAUGACCUAUAAGAACCAAGGCGCCUAUGAACCAGACUUGAAGAGAGAGAGGUUUUUCAGGACAAGCCAAGAUGCAAGAAACAAGGCUAGAGACCUGACCUGCCUAUCAAUCAAGAAGAAGGUUCCAAAUGGAAUGUUCCCAGGGGAGGCAGGCCACAGGAGGAGAAGAAGCAGGAUCUAAAACUUCUGACUCUGUCUCUGGCCCUGGCAGUUGAGCCUGAGUAAAGGGGAAGAAGCUAAGAACUACCUCUCUAUGUAUAACAUAUUAUGUAUAAUAUA
This 299-nucleotide long non-coding RNA is filed under the name Monodelphis domestica (gray short-tailed opossum). Its description in RNAcentral is "lncRNA (ENSMODG00000047662.1)". Lineage: Eukaryota; Metazoa; Chordata; Mammalia; Didelphimorphia; Didelphidae. The record is from RNAcentral.